AACGAACGCUGGCGGCAGGCCUAACACAUGCAAGUCGAACGCUCCGCAAGGGGAGUGGCGCACGGGUGAGUAACACGUGGGAACCUACCUCCUGGUACGGAACAACCAAGGGAAACUUUGGCUAAGACCGUAUACGACCUCCGGGUGAAAGAUUGAUCGCCGGAAGAGGGGCCCGCGUCCGAUUAGGUAGUUGGUGAGGUAACGGCUCACCAAGCCUUCGAUCGGUAGCUGGUCUGAGAGGAUGACCAGCCACACUGGGACUGAGACACGGCCCAGACUCCUACGGAGGCAGCAGUGGGGAAUAUUGGACAAUGGGCGCAAGCCUGAUCCAGCCAUGCCGCGUGAGUGAUGAAGCCUC
RNAcentral lists this ribosomal RNA (358 nucleotides) under uncultured bacterium. RNAcentral describes it as "bacterial SSU rRNA". It matches the Rfam family "Bacterial small subunit ribosomal RNA", at positions 29 to 417 of the family's 1533-position model. The record is from RNAcentral.